ACAGUUCGGUCCCUAUCCACCGCGGGCGCAGGAGACUUGAGGGGAGCUGCUCCUAGUACGAGAGGACCGGAGUGGACGGACCUCUGGUGUACCGGUUGUCCUGCCAAGGGCACGUGCCGGGUAGCCAUGUCCGGACGGGAUAAGCGCUGAAAGCAUCUAAGCGCGAAGCCCACCCCAAGACGAGGUCUCCCACCGGGUCAACCGGGUAAGUCCCCUGGGAAAUGACCAGGUUGAUAGGCCGGAGGUGUAAGCGCUGAGAGGCGUUGAGCCUACCGGUACUAAUCGGACGAGGGCUUGAGCCC
This 302-nucleotide ribosomal RNA is filed under the name Pseudomonadota bacterium. RNAcentral describes it as "partial 23S ribosomal RNA". It matches the Rfam family "Bacterial large subunit ribosomal RNA", at positions 2626 to 2925 of the family's 2925-position model. RNAcentral also lists the same sequence under 1 other name. Lineage: Bacteria; Pseudomonadati; Pseudomonadota. The record is from RNAcentral.